This 253-nucleotide ribosomal RNA is filed under the name uncultured bacterium. RNAcentral describes it as "partial 16S ribosomal RNA". It matches the Rfam family "Bacterial small subunit ribosomal RNA", at positions 524 to 776 of the family's 1533-position model. The record is from RNAcentral.
UACAGGGGGUGCAAACGUUGCUCGGAAUCAUUGGGCGUAAAGGGCUCGUAGGCGGCCAACUAAGUCGGAUGUGAAAUCCCCAGGCUCAACCUGGGAACUGCAUCCGAUACUGGAUGGCUUGAAUUCGGGAGAGGGAUGCAGAAUUCCAGGUGUAGCGGUGAAAUGCGUAGAUAUCUGGAGGAAUACCGGUGGCGAAGGCGGCAUCCUGGACCGACAUUGACGCUGAGGAGCGAAAGCCAGGGGAGCAAACGGG